Molecule: ribosomal RNA, 314 nt
Filed under: uncultured Chloroflexota bacterium
Lineage: Bacteria; Bacillati; Chloroflexota
Description: bacterial SSU rRNA
Rfam family: Bacterial small subunit ribosomal RNA
Source: RNAcentral
GAUAAACGCUGGCGGUGUGCUUUAUGCAUGCAAGUCGAACGAAUCAUUUCGGUGGUUAGUGGCAAACGGGUGAGUAACACGUAAGCAACCUGCCCUAAAGUGGGGAAUAACUCUGAGAAAUCGGAGCUAAUACCGCAUGUGGUGAUGGCGGUAACACGCCAUCAUUAAAGCCUUCGGGCGCUUUUGGAGGGGCUUGCGUCCGAUUAGCUAGUUGGUGAGGUAACGGCCCACCAAGGCAACUAUCGGUAGCUGGUUUGAGAGGACGACCAGCCACACUGGGACUGAGACACGGCCCAGACUCCUACGGGUGGCUG